RNAcentral lists this ribosomal RNA (253 nucleotides) under uncultured bacterium. RNAcentral's name for it is "partial 16S ribosomal RNA". It matches the Rfam family "Bacterial small subunit ribosomal RNA", at positions 524 to 776 of the family's 1533-position model. The record is from RNAcentral.
UACGGGGGGGGCAAGCGUUGUUCGGAAUUACUGGGCGUAAAGGGCUCGUAGGCGGCCAACUAAGUCAGACGUGAAAUCCCUCGGCUUAACCGGGGAACUGCGUCUGAUACUGGAUGGCUUGAGUGUGGGAGAGGAAUGCGGAAUUCCAGGUGUAGCGGUGAAAUGCGCAGAUAUCAGGAGGAACACCAAUAGCGAAGGCAGCUCGCUGGGACGGUACUGACGCUAAGGCGCGAAAGCGUGGGGAGCGAACAGG